UAGAAGAGGCCUUGAAAUGUGGGCCUUGAAUUUGCCCCAGAUGAGAUGCAGAUGAGUUGCGCAAUGCUAACUGGGUAUGUUGCCCGCUGCCUGUGUAGGUGUUUUUGACUCUCUGACCUGGAAAAAUGUUCAAAAACCAACUGAUUGUUAUACCUGCUAUUUGCUAAUGAAGUGUUUUAGAUGAUGUGGAUAAAAGCUGGAAUGCUGAUUGGCUGCUUUUUGGGUAGCUGAUAAAGUUAAGUCGAUUGCUGUUUCUCCCGUGUUGUUUUUGUUUAGUUCCCUGGUCGGCCGGUCUCAGAAGUGUGCUGCAUGGUGGCAGCAAGUGUACAUUGUGAACUGUUAGUGUACGAGUCCGGUUGGCUGGGGUUCUGUUAUCUUUUUCUUUUUGUUUCUUUUUUUAUUUGAUGACCAUCUUCCCAGCCUUAAGUCAUUAGCUCAACUCAUUGUGCAUUGUGCAUUGUGUAUUCUGUGUGCAUCCCUUUAGGGUAUGGGAUCCAUGUUUGCUGUGGUUUUCUUUGGAGUUAUGAGUGAAGGGUUAUGUUUUGAGUUGUUCUGAUUGAAUUGUGGUGUUUAUUUCUAUUGAUUUUGUUGUUUUUUUUCUUUUUACUGUCAUUAUAAAAUUGAUGUUUCCUUACACCUUAAAGGUUUGCCACACACAACGGAACCAGCUACUAUAGAGAGCUUUUUUUGCUGGUGGUUAACAUCUUUGAGAGCUGAGAUUAAUUUUGGAUGAGUUAUUUAAAUAAAUAAUUUCAUUUCUAUGUUUAAUUGUGUAUAUUAUUUGUGCCCUAUUGUUUGUAAUAAACCUUUCAUGUUGUACUUUGAGUAGUCCAAAGGGUUUUGACUUUGUGCCUGUACAUUAAACAAGGUAUUCUCUUUCAAAUUAAUUGGAAGGGGUGGCGUAGUGCUACACAAAGAUGACGGUGUUGACAUGUUAUGGUUGUCACAGUAGCAGUGUCCAAAAAUAUGAAGACGUUUAAGAGAAAAUAUCAAACAUACAGGAGCUUGAGUGAUCUUGAAGCAUGCAGUAGAGCUAAAGGUUUGAAAAUGGGCUCCUCAGGAAUGCAGUUGACCCUUUAGUUGUCUGAUUUUAUUGCUUUAUAUAAGUAUCUGACGGUGGUGACGAAUAUGUGGGACACCUUUUGAGCAAUCACAAAAUAAUAGUAAAUAUUGUUCAAAACUCACUGUUUGUAGUUUUUAAUACAUAUUAAAAUGUACUCUUUCAUGUGGUAAAUAUAUUGUUCAAUUAUUACUUUUGGCUUUUUUAAUCAAGUUGAAAUGAUUAUCUCUUAACCGAGGACAGCUGA
Molecule: long non-coding RNA, 1307 nt
Organism: Paramisgurnus dabryanus
Lineage: Eukaryota; Metazoa; Chordata; Actinopteri; Cypriniformes; Cobitidae
Source: RefSeq, a predicted model, not a curated record